This 295-nucleotide ribosomal RNA is filed under the name uncultured microorganism. Its description in RNAcentral is "partial 16S ribosomal RNA". It matches the Rfam family "Bacterial small subunit ribosomal RNA", at positions 505 to 796 of the family's 1533-position model. The record is from RNAcentral.
GUGCCAGCAGCCGCGGUAAUACGGAGGGAGCUAGCGUUGUUCGGAAUUACUGGGCGUAAAGCGCACGUAGGCGGCUUUGUAAGUUAGAGGUGAAAGCCCGGGGCUCAACUCCGGAACUGCCUUUAAGACUGCAUCGCUUUGAAUCCAGGAGAGGUGAGUGGAAUUCCGAGUGUAGAGGUGAAAUUCGUAGAUAUUCGGGAAGAACACCAGUGGCGAAGGCGGCUCACUGGACUGGUAUUGACGCUGAGGGUGCAAAGCUUUGGGGAGCAAACAGGAUUAGAUACCCUGGUAGUCC